This is a long non-coding RNA of Diceros bicornis minor, 1007 nucleotides long. RefSeq lists it as uncharacterized. The record is from RefSeq and is a predicted model, not a curated record. The transcript has 4 exons. NCBI's taxonomy places the organism in Eukaryota, Metazoa, Chordata, Mammalia, Perissodactyla, Rhinocerotidae.
AGUGAGGGCGACACGGCGGCCAGGCGCAAAGGUUCCCUUCCGGAAGGCCCGGGGGCGCACACAGCGGAGGACUCAGCCCGGCAGCCGGCCCGGAGGCCCCUCUGCCUCCGCAGGUCAACCCCGGAAACCGGCCUCCCUUCUCCCCGCGCCAGGGUGACGCGCCCCCACCCGGCCCUCGCGGCCGCGCUAAGCAGGUCCCAGGAAAAGCAAGCAAGGAAUACAGCAUUGUUCACAGGCAUCCUUCAUGGCUGUGUGGAGGUGGACAGCUGGAACGCAGGUAGGAAAGGCCGUGCAAGUCCUACCAGGCUAGCAGUAGACCUGACCUUCCAAGUGAAUUUUCAAGGCACUUACUGAGGUGAAGGUCUUGGAAGGGGGUCAGGGAUUACGGAGGGAAACAGAAGAAAGAAGAGAAAGAAGAGGAAAGGAGGAAGGGAAGAUGGAAAAGAGAUGAGAUUAAAGUUAGUAUUGAAGAGAACUACUUUAGGUUCCUAGGAAAAGAUUUUUGCAUUCAUAGCAGAGGUAUUGUCUACCCACCCCCAGAUAAGCUAAUCCUCUGUGUGGCCCUUACUUCCUGUGUUCCCUGGGGAUACACAGUCCACUCCCAAGGGGCACAUACUGCACAUGGCCUGACCACAUCAUCCAGGGUGUGACUGGAAGGACACAGUACUAAUUUCCUCCUAUUUCUUAUAUCUAUUAUGAUUUUUACCCCGUUUUUACAGUGACAUGGAAAUUGUAUUAACAAAGGCUUUACAUUAAUUCAAUUAAAGAGGGAGACUAGAAAUAGUUAGGGGAGAGAAGGCUUCUAAAUUCUAGAGCCCCGUGGGGUACACUUUUAGACCAUUUAGAGCAAGAAAGUAUUCGAAUCCUGAUAAAUGAGUAUAUAGUUUCAAGGUAAAGAAUUGUUGAGGGAUCUAGACUAUUUGAUUAUAAAAUAUAAUCUACAAAUUGUAAAGACCUCUGACAUGAAAAAUCUGUAAACCAAACUAAAAACUCAAGAGAUCUUCAGU